CAAGUCGAGCGAAUGGAUUAAGAGCUUGCUCUUAUGAAGUUAGCGGCGGACGGGUGAGUAACACGUGGGUAACCUGCCCAUAAGACUGGGAUAACUCCGGGAAACCGGGGCUAAUACCGGAUAACAUUUUGAACCGCAUGGUUCGAAAUUGAAAGGCGGCUUCGGCUGUCACUUAUGGAUGGACCCGCGUCGCAUUAGCUAGUUGGUGAGGUAACGGCUCACCAAGGCAACGAUGCGUAGCCGACCUGAGAGGGUGAUCGGCCACACUGGGACUGAGACACGGCCCAGACUCCUACGGGAGGCAGCAGUAGGGAAUCUUCCGCAAUGGACGAAAGUCUGACGGAGCAACGCCGCGUGAGUGAUGAAGGCUUUCGGGUCGUAAAACUCUGUUGUUAGGGAAGAACAAGUGCUAGUUGAAUAAGCUGGCACCUUGACGGUACCUAACCAGAAAGCCACGGCUAACUACGUGCCAGCAGCCGCGGUAAUACGUAGGUGGCAAGCGUUAUCCGGAAUUAUUGGGCGUAAAGCGCGCGCAGGUGGUUUCUUAAGUCUGAUGUGAAAGCCCACGGCUCAACCGUGGAGGGUCAUUGGAAACUGGGAGACUUGAGUGCAGAAGAGGAAAGUGGAAUUCCAUGUGUAGCGGUGAAAUGCGUAGAGAUAUGGAGGAACACCAGUGGCGAAGGCGACUUUCUGGUCUGUAACUGACACUGAGGCGCGAAAGCGUGAGGAGCAAACAGGAUUAGAUACCCUGGUAGUCCACGCCGUAAACGAUGAGUGCUAAGUGUUAGAGGGUUUCCGCCCUUUAGUGCUGAAGUUAACGCAUUAAGCACUCCGCCUGGGGAGUACGGCCGCAAGGCUGAAACUCAAAGGAAUUGACGGGGGCCCGCACAAGCGGUGGAGCAUGUGGUUUUAAUUCGAAGCAACGCGAAGAACCUUACCAGGUCUUGACAUCCUCUGACAACCCUAGAGAUAGGGCUUCUCCUUCCGGGAGCAAAAUGACAGGUGGUGCAUGGUUGUCGUCACCUCCGUGUCGUGAAAAUGUUGGGUUAAGUCCCGCAACGAGCGCAACCCUUGAUCUUAGUUGCCAUCAUUUAGUUGGGCACUCUAAGGUGACUGCCGGUGACAAACCGGAGGAA
RNAcentral lists this ribosomal RNA (1136 nucleotides) under Bacillus sp. (in: firmicutes). RNAcentral describes it as "bacterial SSU rRNA". It matches the Rfam family "Bacterial small subunit ribosomal RNA", at positions 58 to 1171 of the family's 1533-position model. The record is from RNAcentral. Lineage: Bacteria; Bacillati; Bacillota; Bacilli; Caryophanales; Bacillaceae.